Alligator mississippiensis (American alligator) is the source of this 1535-nucleotide long non-coding RNA. RefSeq lists it as uncharacterized. The record is from RefSeq and is a predicted model, not a curated record. The transcript is spliced from 4 exons. NCBI's taxonomy places the organism in Eukaryota, Metazoa, Chordata, Crocodylia, Alligatoridae.
UAUGCCUGCUCUUGGUAAGGUAUGUGAGACAAGUGACACAUUAUUUUGUGCCACUAACAGUAGUGCCAGCAUUAAGCAGGUUGGGCAAUUUCAUUUAGGAAACGAUGCAACCAUUGUUAGAGAAAGGUAAUGUCUUUCAUACUUUUACACGUUUUAGACUUGUGUUAAGACUGUAUCAAAAAUAUGAAAGUAUAUCUAGCUACAGGGCUAACUUGUAAGUACCCUUUAAGAAGCACAAACUGGGAGAAAAAUCUAUUCAUUUUAGACAGAUUGUUGAAAUAGCUGAAUUCUAAGAUGUGCUAAAUUAUUUAUCUCCAAAGUGUAUACUAAUACACUUGAACCAUGUGUCCUAAUGUUUCAAAACAAAUCUAACUAAAUUAUUAAACCUGUAUAGGCUGCUGAUUUCCAUUCAGAAUAAAAAAAAAAUCAAGUCUGACAUUUAAAGCUUCUCAGUAAGUCCUACAAAAAGAGGUAAGAAGAAUUCAGACUUGUAAAAGAAGCUUGUUCAGUGCUUACUGAGGUGACCUAUUGGUAGUGGAAGCCAUUAAGAAUACAAAUCUUAUACAUGAUGUUUCAGGAGUACAUGCAUGUUUUAAUAUUUUGCAAGAGUAAUAUUGAUACUACACUUAAUCUAAGCUGCCAGGAAGCUGAGAAGUGAUGUCUCUUGUUGGCUUAGAUCAAGUAGUAAAUAAUAUGAACUCUAUCCAAAAACCUUAAUGGGUUAGGUCCUGUUGACCACACUCUGCUUCCUGCAGUCCUGAAGUUGUUUAACUGGCCCCAGAAUCAGUUUGCUCCUUUGCAAAAUUCCUUUUCUGCUAGCAUGACAGUAGGGGAGAGGAUGUGUAGUAAGAAUUCUCCUUCUCCAUUUUGCCAGUGCUUAGUUGUGAUUUGGACUCUCUCCAGGCUUAGGACAAUCUACAUGUCCAGUUAUGCAGAUCUCCACUUCCAGCUUUGGAUUAGAUUUUCUGAACAGCUACAGAGCUGGAAACCAGGAAACCAUGACAACUAAGAGUUCAGCCUGGAAACUCUGAGGCCUUGGGGCAGUUCACAGGCAGAAGAACAGAGCAUUAAUUGUAAAUGGACCAUUUCAGUCAACACCCUGUAAGGAGUAACCUAGAAACCUCUACUCGAAGACGAAGCAGAAGAGAAUGCUAUGUGAAGAAUGCCCAUCUGCAAUGAUAAGGAGGAGACAGUCCUAGAUAAAGGGGGCUUGAAAACAAAAGAAGAAACAGAGUACUGGGUUAAAGGGCUCAUUAAAAUACUAAAAAUCACACCCCUAGGUGGGGAAGAAGUAUGCUAAUGAAACACAUAUGUAUGUAAAUGAGAUACAUGGCUAAAACACAGGUAUAGAGACAUGCUCAGUAAAGAACUGCUUGUGUCACUCACUUAUAACCAAUCAUUAAACAAGCACGCUUCCGAAGGCUUGAAAACUCCUGUAUAAAAGAUGCUUAGAAAUAGUGAUCUGGUGUGGUUGUUAUGUGAAUUAUUCUGCUUGCACCUUUUAUUGCUAGCAAUAAACCUUCUUUGUACUUUCA